UCGAUGCAACGCGAAGAACCUUACCUGGUCUUGACAUCCACGGAAGUUUUCAGAGAUGAGAAUGUGCCUUCGGGAACCGUGAGACAGGUGCUGCAUGGCUGUCGUCAGCUCGUGUUGUGAAAUGUUGGGUUAAGUCCCGCAACGAGCGCAACCCUUAUCCUUUGUUGCCAGUGGUCCGGCCGGGAACUCAAAGGAGACUGCCAGUGAUAAACUGGAGGAAGGUGGGGAUGACGUCAAGUCAUCAUGGCCCUUACGACCAGGGCUACACACGUGCUACAAUGGCGCAUACAAAGAGAAGCGACCUCGCGAGAGCAAGCGGACCUCAUAAAGUGCGUCGUAGUCCGGAUUGGAGUCUGCAACUCGACUCCAUGAAGUCGGAAUCGCUAGUAAUCGUGGAUCAGAAUGCCACGGUGAAUACGUUCCCGGGCCUUGUGCACACCGCCCGUCACACCAUGGGAGUGGGUUGCAAAAGAAGUAGGUAGCUUAA
Molecule: ribosomal RNA, 487 nt
Filed under: uncultured Escherichia sp.
Lineage: Bacteria; Pseudomonadati; Pseudomonadota; Gammaproteobacteria; Enterobacterales; Enterobacteriaceae
Description: bacterial SSU rRNA
Rfam family: Bacterial small subunit ribosomal RNA
Source: RNAcentral